Long non-coding RNA from Arachis duranensis, 783 nucleotides. RefSeq lists it as uncharacterized. NCBI's taxonomy places the organism in Eukaryota, Viridiplantae, Streptophyta, Magnoliopsida, Fabales, Fabaceae. The transcript is spliced from 3 exons. The record is from RefSeq and is a predicted model, not a curated record.
UAAUCCUAUGGUAUGCAACACAGUUUUGAAGAUGGUCACAAGAGGAGUUGUGAUAUUUUAGCUGUAAGGGAUCUUUGUUAUUUAGAAUUGCUAUGAUGAUUAUGUAACAUACAGAAGCAGAUUCUGUUGGUAUUGUGGAAGUGAAUAAGCCGGGUUUGGAAACUUGAAUGCAAAGUUCCUAAUCCUUUGUUGAGGCAUAUCAACAGGGUCGAUGGUGUGCAUAAGGAAGGCAACGGUGGAUGACCUGCUGGCUAUGCAGGCUUGAGAUACUCCUGGUUUCUUUAUGAGACGUUUAUGUGUUUGGUGCUGAGUAUGUCUCCCUGCAUGUUAGAAAGAGCAAUCGUGCUACAUUUAAUUUGUACACGGAGACACUGGGUUACAAGAUUCAUGAUGUGGAGGCGAAGUAUUAUGUAGAUGGGGAGAAUGCUUAUGACAUGAGGAAGCAGCUCAAGGGGAAGCAGACGCAUCAGCAUCCUCAUAGUGGGGGUCAUCACCACCACCAGUACAAUCAUCAUCGUGAGCAUGGUGGUGGUUGUUGUUCUAGUGAAGCAAAGGCAGAGAAGACAGAGACGAGAAAUGCGAAGCGCACCUGAUUGUAAGAGCAAUUUUCCUCCAUUCUGUUUCUCUGUAAAUGAAAAUUUUUUCUUUUUUGUUAUGUAAGAAACUGGGUAUUGGCUUAGGCACUCUGAGAGGAUAAAAGACUCUAGAUGUUGAUACUGUGUCUGUCUCAUUGGUGGAUUAGAAAUUGUUGGUGAUAGAAGAGGUACGUUUGUAUUGGUCGAA